GAUGAACGCUGGCGGCGUGCCUAAUACAUGCAAGUCGAGCGAACAGACGAGGAGCUUGCUCCUCUGACGUUAGCGGCGGACGGGUGAGUAACACGUGGAUAACCUACCUAUAAGACUGGGAUAACUUCGGGAAACCGGAGCUAAUAACGGCUAAUAUAUUCAACCGCAGGGUUCAAUAGUGAAUGACGGUUUUGCUGUCACUUAUAGAUGGAUCCGCGCCGCAUUAGCUAGUUGGUAAGGUAACGGCUUACCAAGGCAACGAUGCGUAGCCGAUCUGAGAGGGUGAUCGGCCACACUGGAACUGAGACACGGUCCAGACUCCUACGGGAGGCAGCAGUAGGGAAUCUUCCGCAAUAGGCGAAAGCCUGACGGAGCAACGCCGCGUGAGUGAUGAAGGUCUUCGGAUCGUAAAACUCUGUUAUUGGGGAAGAACAACUGUGUAAUUAACCAUGGACGUCUUGACGGUACCUAAUCAAAAAGCACCGGCUAACUUCGUG
RNAcentral lists this ribosomal RNA (497 nucleotides) under uncultured bacterium. RNAcentral describes it as "partial 16S ribosomal RNA". It matches the Rfam family "Bacterial small subunit ribosomal RNA", at positions 28 to 507 of the family's 1533-position model. The record is from RNAcentral.